RNAcentral lists this ribosomal RNA (253 nucleotides) under uncultured bacterium. RNAcentral describes it as "partial 16S ribosomal RNA". It matches the Rfam family "Bacterial small subunit ribosomal RNA", at positions 524 to 776 of the family's 1533-position model. The record is from RNAcentral.
AACGUAGGAGACAAACGUUAUCCGGAGUUACUGGGCGUAAAGGGCGUGUAGGUGGUAUCGUAAGUCUGGCGUGAAAUUUCCCGGCUUAACCGAGGCAGGUCGUCGGAUACUGCGAGGCUAGAGGACGGUAGAGGCGUGUGGAAUUCCGGGUGUAGUGGUGAAAUGCGUAGAGAUCCGGAGGAACACCAGUGGCGAAGGCGACACGCUGGGCCGUACCUGACACUGAUGCGCGACAGCAUGGGGAGCAAACAGG